This 497-nucleotide ribosomal RNA is filed under the name uncultured bacterium. RNAcentral's name for it is "partial 16S ribosomal RNA". It matches the Rfam family "Bacterial small subunit ribosomal RNA", at positions 28 to 507 of the family's 1533-position model. The record is from RNAcentral.
GAUGAACGCUGGCGGCGUGCCUAAUACAUGCAAGUCGAGCGAACAGACGAGGAGCUUGCUCCUCUGACGUUAGCGGCGGACGGGUGAGUAACACGUGGAUAACCUACCUAUAAGACUGGGAUAACUUCGGGAAACCGGAGCUAAUACCGGAUAAUAUAUUGAACCGCAUGGUUCAAUAGUGAAAGACGGUUUUGCUGUCACUUAUAGAUGGAUCCGCGCCGCAUUAGCUAGUUGGUAAGGUAACGGCUUAUCAGGGCAACGAUGCGUAGCCGACCUGAGAGGGUGAUCGGCCACACUGGAACUGAGACACGGUCCAGACUCCUACGGGAGGCAGCAGUAGGGAAUCUUCCGCAAUGGGCGAAAGCCUGACGGAGCAACGCCGCGUGAGUGAUGAAGGUCUUCGGAUCGUAAAACUCUGUUAUUAGGGAAGAACAAAUGUGUAAGUAACUAUGCACGUCUUGACGGUACCUAAUCAGAAAGCCACGGCUAACUACGUG